RNAcentral lists this non-coding RNA (2847 nucleotides) under Pongo abelii (Sumatran orangutan). Lineage: Eukaryota; Metazoa; Chordata; Mammalia; Primates; Hominidae. The record is from RNAcentral.
AGACAAAAUAUUAGGCACUAGACACAGACAAUUAAAAUUCAUGCUCCUCACAUUAGUUCUAAAUAAUAGUGUGUACUCAGAAUAAAAUACCCAUGUAACGGUGAUUGAGAUGACUCUGGUUCCGCAGAAGUAACUAACCUAAGAUCAGAACUUUUAAAAUGAAACACCUUUUACCAAUAUCAUUCAAAGAUACAUCUUGACGCCCACUUCCUCUCCUUCUCUAGUAUCCCCAAUGAUAAAGUAUCAAGAUCUUGUCAUUGUCCUUUCUCCGUGCAGGUCUGGAAUAUCAAAAUUCAACACACUAAGUCAAAUGCCAACAUCUUCCAAGUCCCACAUACAGGUGCAUUCUCAUACUACUUGUUGAGCCAAUUCAGAUCUUCCCAAACUACACUAAAAAGAUUCCAUUACAUGUGCAGUGAAGAGCUGGUCCAAGCCCUAAUUGAAUCCUUUAUGAGUAAACAUUAAAGUCUUCCUCUGUCAUUACAAAUUUCUGUUCACACUUGAAUCCCAACAGAAAGCUGCCGGAAGCGACUGGCUGGGGUUCCCAUUUCAGUUUUCCUGUUGUGUGCAGGUGUAAGACCAUCGUAUUACAGUGUUAAGAAAUUUUAAUUUUUCCAGCAACAUGCAGCCGACCCGUUCCAAAGAACUCCCUAAACUCCGCGGCUGACAACUAACUCCCUUAACUCACUUCCAACCCCUACAGGGAGUCUGGGAAGAUUAGUCACCUCCUCUAGCCAGGCGGUCCCGCUCCAACACCUCACUCUUACACCCUACACAGGGCAGAUGAGCGUCUCGGCCACCUCCACAAACCAAAUGCCAAUCUGAGGUGUGUGUCACCCUUGAAUUUCCCACAUUCUGAAAGAGACCCUCCUCUUAGUGGAGCUUUCUGCCGUGGGGCUGAGGAGUAGCAGCUCCCAGCGUCCCGUGGAAGGAAACUCCCAGAGAAGAGCAAGCGCUCACGCUCCCACCCAGAGCAGGCUGUGCUGAUUACAACGGCGGGAAAUGCCCGUCCUAAGCUGGUUUCGCCAAAGCCUUUCAAGUAGAGACUCUAGGACCAGUCCGUGACAAGUACGCCGGCCGGCACUGCUCCGGGUCCCAGACCAGCUCGUGCGGGCCAGAGCCGGGGACACGGCUAGGGAGGGAUGGGGGCCCGGCCCGGCCCACUCUCCCACCCUACGCUGAGCCCCCCGUGAGUCAGCAGCCGACGAGGGGACCCGGGGAUUGCCUCAAGUCCUCCCACAAGAGGGAGACCUGGGGGGCUCUGGAGAGCUCCGAGCGGCCUGCGCCCCCGGCCCGGCCCCCCUCACACACACAGUGAGUCAGCAGCACCAGAGCCGGCUAGCCCGGCCCCUCUCCGCUGCCGCCGACCGACAUAAGCCCAGCGGGACCGGCGGGGCCGGGGAGGCGGCGCGGCGACCUUUACCGAUGGAGUGGAGGAUGUCGAUGGAGGCCUCCCGGUCGGUGCUGAGUAGAGACUGGGCUCUCUGGAACUCCACCACCGCCGCCGCCGCCAUCUUACCGCUCUCACACCGUCCCCGGCCGCGGCCGCCGACGCCGGAAACACACACCCGGAAAGCCCGCCCUCGCGUCCCUCCGCCUGUAGCUCCCGCGGCUCCGUUCCCAGAGCACUCCGGGAGUUGUAGUCUCUCCGCCGGGCGCGGGCUGAGGGGUGGGGAGAGCGGGACCGCCUCGCAGGUGGCCUGCAAGCUCCCCAGCGCCUCCUAGCGGGCGGCCGGCGAGGAAAAGAGGCGGUGCCCCGCAGUGGGAGCUCAAGAUCGGUCCCCGCCCACCCCAAAAGAGGCUUCUUGAUUCCGGCCCUGCUCGCGCACCCCUGAGAGGGGUUCCUGAGUACCGGGCUAGGUAUUGAGUCAAAUCUGUGUGGCUUUCUUUGCGGCUUCCACGAUUUAACCAUUCAUUUAGGACGAUAAGUGACCUUAUAAAGUGCUCGCUAUGUGGCAAAGAAUAGCACCAUUCGCAUGCGUUCCAGUGUCUGAUGCCUGGGCGCCGCACACACGCUUUCCAGGCUUGACUCCCGCAGAACGCUGGCCGGCAGGUGGGCAAACCCGCCAGGACCGGAGAAAACUGUCCUCACGCGCCCAUUUAACCUUGGGACAGUGCUGGACGUGAUGAAGUGAAACAUCACCUUUGCUCCAUUCACGCCACAAAUACCUCUUGGGAAUCCACAGAAGCCUCACCCAGCUCCCAGCUCAAAAAAAAAAAGAGACAGAGUUCAUUCUUGUUGCCUGGGCUGGAGUGCAAUGGCAUGAUCUCGGCUCACCUCAACCUCCGCCUCCCAGGUUCAAGCAAUUCUCCUGCUUCAGCCUCCCGAGUAGCUGGGAUCACAGGCGCCCACCACCACACCCGGCUGAUUUUGUAUUUUUAAUAGAGAUGAGGUUACUCCAUGUUGGUCAGGCUGGUCUUAAACUCCCAACCUCAGGUGAUCCACCCGCCUCAGCCCCGCAAAGUGCUGGGAUUACAGGCAUCAGCCACUGCCCGCAGCCCAACAGACAGGGUCCUGGUCUGUCACACAGGCUGGAAUGCAGUGUGUGGUGGUGCGUUCUUGGCUCACUGCAACUUCCAACUCCCAGGUUCAAGCGAUCCUCCCACCUCAGCCUCCCAAGUAGCUGUGACUGCAGGUAUGCACCAUCACACUCAGCUAAUUUUUUUGAUUUAUUUUUUGUUAUAGAGGCUGUUUCUCCCAGUGUUGCCCAAGCUUGCCUCAAAGUCCUGAGCUCAAGCAAUCCUCUCACCUCAGCCUCCCAAAGUGGUAGCAUGAGCCAUCACACCCAGCUGAUCUUUACUUCUUUUUCUUUUUUUUUCUGGGUUCACGCCAUUAACCUGCCUCAG